This 292-nucleotide ribosomal RNA is filed under the name uncultured bacterium. RNAcentral's name for it is "partial 16S ribosomal RNA". It matches the Rfam family "Bacterial small subunit ribosomal RNA", at positions 505 to 796 of the family's 1533-position model. The record is from RNAcentral.
GUGUCAGCAGCCGCGGUAAUACGUAGGGUGCAAGCGUUGUCCGGAAUUAUUGGGCGUAAAGAGCUCGUAGGCGGUCUGUCGCAUCGAAUGUGAAAACACGAGGCUCAACUUCGUGCCUGCAUUCGAUACGGGCAGACUAGAGUUCGGUAGGGGAGUCUGGAAUUCCUGGUGUAGCGGUGAAAUGCGCAGAUAUCAGGAGGAACACCGGUGGCGAAGGCGGGACUCUGGGCCGAUACUGACGCUGAGGAGCGAAAGCGUGGGGAGCAAACAGGAUUAGAUACCCUUGUAGUCC